RNAcentral lists this ribosomal RNA (610 nucleotides) under Neisseria gonorrhoeae. RNAcentral describes it as "bacterial LSU rRNA". It matches the Rfam family "Bacterial large subunit ribosomal RNA", at positions 2042 to 2651 of the family's 2925-position model. Lineage: Bacteria; Pseudomonadati; Pseudomonadota; Betaproteobacteria; Neisseriales; Neisseriaceae. The record is from RNAcentral.
UUGAAGUGGUUGUGAAGAUGCAAUCUACCCGCUGCUAGACGGAAAGACCCCGUGAACCUUUACUGUAGCUUUGCAUUGGACUUUGAAGUCACUUGUGUAGGAUAGGUGGGAGGCUUGGAAGCAGAGACGCCAGUCUCUGUGGAGUCGUCCUUGAAAUACCACCCUGGUGUCUUUGAGGUUCUAACCCAGACCCGUCAUCCGGGUCGGGGACCGUGCAUGGUAGGCAGUUUGACUGGGGCGGUCUCCUCCCAAAGCGUAACGGAGGAGUUCGAAGGUUACCUAGGUCCGGUCGGAAAUCGGACUGAUAGUGCAAUGGCAAAAGGUAGCUUAACUGCGAGACCGACAAGUCGGGCAGGUGCGAAAGCAGGACAUAGUGAUCCGGUGGUUCUGUAUGGAAGGGCCAUCGCUCAACGGAUAAAAGGUACUCCGGGGAUAACAGGCUGAUUCCGCCCAAGAGUUCAUAUCGACGGCGGAGUUUGGCACCUCGAUGUCGGCUCAUCACAUCCUGGGGCUGUAGUCGGUCCCAAGGGUAUGGCUGUUCGCCAUUUAAAGUGGUACGUGAGCUGGGUUUAAAACGUCGUGAGACAGUUUGGUCUCUAUCUGCAGUGGG